Molecule: ribosomal RNA, 426 nt
Filed under: uncultured bacterium
Lineage: Bacteria
Description: partial 16S ribosomal RNA
Rfam family: Bacterial small subunit ribosomal RNA
Source: RNAcentral
GUGAGGAAUUUUCCGCAAUGGGCGAAAGCCUGACGGAGCAAUGCCGCGUGAAGGAUGAAGGCCUAUGGGUUGUAAACUUCUUUUCUCAGAAAAGAAUUAUGACGGUAUCUGAGGAAUAAGCAUCGGCUAACUCUGUGCCAGCAGCCGCGGUAAGACAGAGGAUGCAACCGUUAUCCGGAAUGAUUGGGCGUAAAGCGUCUGUAGGUUGUUUAAAAAGUAUUCUGUCAAAGAUUAGGGCUUAACCCUAGAUAGGCAGAAUAAACUUUUAAGCUAGAGUUUGGUAGAGGCAGAGGGAAUUCCCGGUGGAGCGGUGAAAUGCGUAGAGAUCGGGAGGAACACCAAAGGCGAAGGCACUCUGCUGGGCCAAUACUAACACUGAGAGACGAAAGCGAGGGGAGCAAAUGGGAUUAGAUACCCCAGUAGUCC